Molecule: ribosomal RNA, 253 nt
Filed under: uncultured bacterium
Lineage: Bacteria
Description: partial 16S ribosomal RNA
Rfam family: Bacterial small subunit ribosomal RNA
Source: RNAcentral
UACGUAGGUGGCAAGCGUUGUCCGGAAUUACUGGGUGUAAAGGGCGUGUAGGCGGGACGGCAAGUCAGAUGUGAAAUACCUCGGCUUAACUGGGGUGCUGCAACUGAAACUGUCGUUCUUGAGUGUCGGAGAGGAAAGUGGAAUUCCCAGUGUAGCGGUGAAAUGCGUAGAGAUUGGGAGGAACACCAGUGGCGAAGGCGGCUUUCUGGACGAUAACUGACGCUGAGGCGCGAAAGCGUGGGUAGCAAACAGG